UACGAGGGGGGGCGAGCGUUGUUCGGAAUUAUUGGGCGUAAAGGGUGCGUAGGCGGUUUGGUAAGUCUUGUGUGAAAUCUACAGGCUCAACUUGUAGUCUGCACGAGAAACUGCCGGGCUUGAGUAUGGGAGAGGUGAGUGGAAUUCCUGGUGUAGCGGUGAAAUGCGUAGAUAUCAGGAGGAACACCUGUGGCGAAAGCGGCUCACUGGACCAUAACUGACGCUGAUGCACGAAAAGCUAGGGGGAGCAAACAGGG
This 257-nucleotide ribosomal RNA is filed under the name uncultured bacterium. RNAcentral's name for it is "partial 16S ribosomal RNA". It matches the Rfam family "Bacterial small subunit ribosomal RNA", at positions 524 to 777 of the family's 1533-position model. The record is from RNAcentral.